GGAAAUGUCUCAAUUUCGUCCAAAACCGUUGGAAACCCUAUAAAGGGUGCUUUUUGAUUCAUCCUCAUAUCGACUCCAACGCUCCAAAAAAUGAUUGGGCAUUGUUUCUGGACUCAAGAGAAGUAUGUUGAUGGUGGAAAUUGCACGAAAUCAUUUCACGAAUGGCGGAUUCACAGCCGUGGGUGCCCUCGAAGCCGAUGGCUUCGAUCUUCAUGAAUCAAGGUCCAAUUCCUUCGAUUUUGGAAUGAAACGUGAAGAAGGAAGGUUGAAAAGUUAGUUCUAGAUGGUGGAUAGCCACAAUUUGUCGGAAAAACUGAAGAAAAC
RNAcentral lists this long non-coding RNA (324 nucleotides) under Malus domestica (apple). RNAcentral describes it as "long non-coding RNA (MDOM_LNC001711)". The record is from RNAcentral. Lineage: Eukaryota; Viridiplantae; Streptophyta; Magnoliopsida; Rosales; Rosaceae.